Molecule: transfer RNA, 72 nt
Filed under: Actinomycetota bacterium
Lineage: Bacteria; Bacillati; Actinomycetota
Description: tRNA-Lys
Rfam family: tRNA
About the family: Transfer RNA (tRNA) molecules are approximately 80 nucleotides in length. Their secondary structure includes four short double-helical elements and three loops (D, anti-codon, and T loops).
Source: RNAcentral
GCCCCCGUAGCUUAAAGCCAAAGCGUUCCACUUUUAAUGGAAAAGAUGAGGGUUGGAGUCCCUCCGGGGGUA